Molecule: ribosomal RNA, 253 nt
Filed under: uncultured bacterium
Lineage: Bacteria
Description: partial 16S ribosomal RNA
Rfam family: Bacterial small subunit ribosomal RNA
Source: RNAcentral
UACGAAGGGUGCAAGCGUUACUCGGAAUUACUGGGCGUAAAGCGUGCGUAGGUGGUUCGUUAAGUCUGCCGUGAAAGCCCCGGGCUCAACCUGGGAAUGGCGGUGGAUACUGGCGGACUAGAGUGCGGUAGAGGGUGGUGGAAUUCCCGGUGUAGUAGUGAAAUGCGUAGAGAUCGGGAGGAACAUCUGUGGCGAAGGCGGCCACCUGGACCAGCACUGACACUGAGGCACGAAAGCGUGGGGAGCAAACAGG